AAUAAAGUCUUACUGACUGCAGGUCUAAUAAUAACUUGAAAUAAGAUGGGUUUUCUGGGUAAAAAAAAAACUAGGUCCUGUACUGGGUGGAUAAGUGAAAAGUGAAAAGACUGUAUUUUUUGUUAUACAGUAACGGCACUACAGCACAAUUAUUAAGCUCCAGUAUUUUAGCGUUAUUAUUGCGAAUAUAUAGUUUAACCCCUGUGUUGCCCGGGUGUCU
Molecule: non-coding RNA, 220 nt
Organism: Cinara cedri
Lineage: Eukaryota; Metazoa; Arthropoda; Insecta; Hemiptera; Aphididae
Source: the annotation of a GenBank genome assembly